RNAcentral lists this ribosomal RNA (297 nucleotides) under uncultured bacterium. RNAcentral's name for it is "partial 16S ribosomal RNA". It matches the Rfam family "Bacterial small subunit ribosomal RNA", at positions 333 to 644 of the family's 1533-position model. The record is from RNAcentral.
GGUAGCCUACGGGAGGCAGCAGUGGGGAAUAUUGCACAAUGGGGGAAACCCUGAUGCAGCGACGCCGCGUGAGUGAAGAAGUAUUUCGGUAUGUAAAGCUCUAUCAGCAGGGAAGAGAGAAAUGACGGUACCUGACUAAGAAGCCCCGGCUAACUACGUGCCAGCAGCCGCGGUAAUACGUAGGGGGCAAGCGUUAUCCGGAUUUACUGGGUGUAAAGGGAGCGUAGACGGCGAUGCAAGUCUGAAGUGAAAGGCGGGGGCCCAACCCCCGGACUGCUUUGGAAACUGUAUGGCUGG